UACGUAGGUGGCAAGCGUUGUCCGGAUUUACUGGGCGUAAAGAGCGCGCAGGCGGUCGUGCAAGUCGCGUGUGAAAGCCCCCGGCUCAACUGGGGAGGGUCACGCGAUACUGCUCGACUUGAAGGCAGGAGAGGGAAGUGGAAUUCCCGGUGUAGUGGUGAAAUGCGUAGAUAUCGGGAGGAGCACCAGUGGCGAAGGCGACUUCCUGGCCUGUUCUUGACGCUGAGGCGCGAAAGCUAGGGUAGCAAACGGG
RNAcentral lists this ribosomal RNA (253 nucleotides) under uncultured bacterium. RNAcentral describes it as "partial 16S ribosomal RNA". It matches the Rfam family "Bacterial small subunit ribosomal RNA", at positions 524 to 776 of the family's 1533-position model. The record is from RNAcentral.